CAACUCUCAACAACGGAUAUCUUGGCUCUCGCAACAAUAAAGAACGCAGCAAAAUGCGAUACGUAGUGUGAAUUGCAGAAUUCCGUGAACCAUCGAAUCUUUGAACGCAUAUUGCGCUCGAGCCCUCGGGCAAGAGCAUGUCUGCCUCAGCGUCGGUU
Molecule: ribosomal RNA, 158 nt
Filed under: Tetradesmus obliquus
Lineage: Eukaryota; Viridiplantae; Chlorophyta; Chlorophyceae; Sphaeropleales; Scenedesmaceae
Description: 5.8S ribosomal RNA
Rfam family: 5.8S ribosomal RNA
About the family: 5.8S ribosomal RNA (5.8S rRNA) is a component of the large subunit of the eukaryotic ribosome.
Source: RNAcentral